AGCCUUAGGAAAUAGAUCUUAGGUUAAACCUGCCCAAUGUAUAAUAUUAAUGGCCGCGGUACUCUGACCGUGCUAAGGUAGCGCAAUCAAUUGGCUUUUAAUUGAAGCCAUGUAUGAAUGGAAUCACGGAGUUUAGCUGUCUCAUGACUAAUUUAUCGAAAUUACUAUGUAGGUGAAAAAGCCUACCAACCGAAAAAAGACGAGAAGACCCUUAGAGUUUUUCCUACACUAGAAUUUUUUUUCUAAAACAGUUUAGUUGGGGCAACACAGGAGCAGGAUAUUAACCUCCUAAGAAAUAUCUAGCGAUACUUAUAAACUUGAAUAAACUACCUUAGGGAUAACAGCAUAAUUUUAUAAAUAAGUUUGUGACCUCGAUGUUGGACUAGGAAACUAGAGGGCUAGCCGCCUUUUAGGGAAGUUCUGUUCGAACUAUUAUUCCUUCGU
This 444-nucleotide ribosomal RNA is filed under the name Sclerodoris dutertrei. RNAcentral's name for it is "partial large subunit ribosomal RNA". It matches the Rfam family "Archaeal large subunit ribosomal RNA", at positions 1921 to 2670 of the family's 2987-position model. The record is from RNAcentral. Lineage: Eukaryota; Metazoa; Mollusca; Gastropoda; Nudibranchia; Discodorididae.